RNAcentral lists this ribosomal RNA (450 nucleotides) under uncultured bacterium. RNAcentral describes it as "partial 16S ribosomal RNA". It matches the Rfam family "Bacterial small subunit ribosomal RNA", at positions 338 to 795 of the family's 1533-position model. The record is from RNAcentral.
CCUACGGGGGGCUGCAGUAAGGAAUAUUGGUCAAUGGACGAAAGUCUGAACCAGCCAUGCCGCGUGGAGGAUGAAGGUCCUCUGGAUUGUAAACUUCUUUUAUAUGGGACGAAAAAAGGCCUUUCUAGGCCGUCUGACGGUACCAUAUGAAUAAGCACCGGCUAACUCCGCGCCAGCAGCCGCGGUAAUACGGAGGGUGCAGGAGUUAUCCGGUUUAAAUGGUGUUAAGGGGGGUGGAGAAGGCAUUGGUGAAAUCUCCGAGCUUAACUUGGAAACUGCCAUUGAUACUAUUAAUCUUGAAUAUUGUGGAGGUUAGCGGAAUAUGUCAUGUAGCGGUGAAAUGCUUAGAUAUGACAUAGAACACCAAUUGCGAAGGCAGCUGGCUACACAUAUAUUGACGCUGAGGCACGAAAGCGUGGGGAGCAAACAGGAUUAGAUACCCUAGUAGUC